AUGGACAAACUCCACCCCCUUCUCAUUCCUGCAAUCAUGGAUGAACUCCAUCCCCUUCGUCACCCACACUUAGCCCUCUUUUUUCCCUCAACUGUUGAAGAAGUUGCAACCGGCCAUGAAAAAGUUGCGUCCACAGUGGGAGGUGCUGGAACCUGCCAGGGAAAAAGCUACAACCACAUCAAUUUGAGACAUGGUGGUGCAAGUCGAUGUCGGCGGCGAGCCGGAGACGGGGACCCUGGGAUGCGGCAACCAUGGCUAGAGGGCGCUGGAACCCUCCUCUGUUCAAGCUCUGCUGCAAUCAUGGUGAGCGGAGGCAGCCGAGGCAAGUGCCGGGCACGGCAGGCGAGCGAGGGUGACGGGCGCGGUGGCAACCAAGCAUGGGAAGACAAGGACAAGCGCAGGGAGCCAGCGAGCGCGCGGUACUGUAAAUCGGAUGCUUAA
RNAcentral lists this ribosomal RNA (441 nucleotides) under Triticum aestivum (bread wheat). Its description in RNAcentral is "partial small subunit ribosomal RNA". The record is from RNAcentral. Lineage: Eukaryota; Viridiplantae; Streptophyta; Magnoliopsida; Poales; Poaceae.